GCCUUAGUGGUGCAAUUGGAAGCAUACUCGACGCGCAUUCGAGAGGUCCAAGGUUCGAGUCCGGGCGAGGGCA
This is a non-coding RNA of Stegodyphus dumicola, 73 nucleotides long. The record is from the annotation of a RefSeq genome assembly. Lineage: Eukaryota; Metazoa; Arthropoda; Arachnida; Araneae; Eresidae.